RNAcentral lists this long non-coding RNA (20935 nucleotides) under Capsicum annuum. RNAcentral's name for it is "long non-coding RNA (CANN_LNC010572)". Lineage: Eukaryota; Viridiplantae; Streptophyta; Magnoliopsida; Solanales; Solanaceae. The record is from RNAcentral.
AGAGCCAUUGAGGAGUUAGACUAGAGUGACUGGACAGGCCAAGCGAUGGACCAUCACUUGAACCACCAUUGGUAAGUCGAUGAUUUUGUCUUCUUUUCAUGUUAAAUUGACCCGACCAAUCAUAACCAAAUGCUGAGAUCGGUUUAAAAUUGGCCCAAAUACUUGAUCCAAACCUUACCUAUUUUCAAUUGAAUUAAUAACCAAAUUCUCCAUUGGCCUUUUUAUUUCGUCUUUUUCAAUGGUUGAAAAACCCAUGUUCACAACUCUUAAUUUACAUUCAUUACCCAUUAACCACUCUCGUCAUCUUCCCUUUCUAUUUAAACUACCCUUUAACACGAUGCCAUCUAUUACUAAGAACAAAUCACCAAAUACCUAACGCAACUCUUGGCAUCUUCAAACUUUAACACUUGUACUUACACAAGUUUCAGUUUUCAUCUACAUCCGGUGAUUGAGGUGUAUUCAACUCUCUAUGAGACUUUAGUGUAGUUUUUUAAAUUUAUUUUUUAAUGUUUUGUUGUUCUUCUCUUUUUCUAGUACUAUGUUAAAAGGUUGUGUGUGGCAUAUUGUUGAGUGGUAAACCUAGCGGUGAAGUCCAAAUAACCCUAAGGCUGGUAAAAAAGUGUUUGAAGAUGAUUAAAAUUUAGAUAAUUCCAUUUUUCAUUAAAAGUAACAAAAGGAUAACCACCGUGUGUAUGAUAAAAUGUCAAGGAUAAGACAAGUCAGUUUAUUGAACAACGAUAGAUUGACUGAUGGGCCGUUAGGAAAAUUAUCGCACAACUUUUCAAAAAUUGCUUAAAGGCUGAUGAUUUAGUUGACUAACCAUAACAUAUGUUACGGCCCAUCACACCAACCUUUGACAAGCUCAUCAAUUAGAGCCUAAUUUAUUUAAUGAAUGAUGGCUGAGCUAAUGAAUCAAUAGUCAGUUAAUGACCCCUCAAGGUAACCGUCGUACUUGAAUUUGACUGCAAUCUGCUUAAGAGCUGAUAGCUGGGUCGAUGAACCAUUGCCCAACUCAUUGCUCCUAAACAAUUACUAAAUGUCAAUAUGAUUCUUAAAUUCUAGUUUUUCUACUGUGGCUAACUAGCUCCACCUCAAGUAUAUUGACUGAAAACCUACCAUCAAGGAGAUAUGGGGGUUGACCAAUGCAACCCUGGCAAAACACUACCUUGACACUUUGAGGUGAUCCAAAAGUUGACAUUGAUAAAGUGGAGGCACCAUCCCAUAACACCAGGCAAAGUGAAAUGAAUUAUCGCCCAUGCUCCCAGUUUGAAGAAAAGGACGAGUCAUCAAGUUUUUAUAUAUGUAUUGAGAGGGAAAGCAACGAUCGUUCCAUCUCUAGCCCAAGUGUGGAGAGUAAAAAGGACACUACUAGUCUGAAAAAUACCAGAACAACAAAAGGGUGAUUUCAUUCAUAGCAAAGAUCCAGAGGUUAGAGAAUCAAUUGGAUGGGUGGUUGAAGGUGCUGAAAAGAAUUAUUUUGAUGGUCUACAACUAACCCAAUCCAAAAACAUGAAGAUACCAAUUGUUGAAGAGUGGAAGAUAGUGACAACUGAUCUGCCAAAAUAUCCUGACAUUGAGAAGUGAUUCAAUGAGUAUGGACUAAGCUAUUUGAGCACACCACCAGGUUCUUACUACCCAAUUUUUGUAAAAGAGUUCUUUUCUAAUUAUUUGGAUGUCCAGGAGAAAGAUUGACCAAAGGGGAAGAAGGCGUCCAACAUGCAGAAUAGAACUAUAAUUCCAGUUAGGGGAGUUUCUAUGGACAUCUCAGACCAAACCAUCAAUCGAAUCCUUUUUGGUCAGUUGUACGCUUCUUCUACUAUCACAUUAUAGCUUGAACAUCAAAUGACUAUUACAUAUACCCAACAGCCAUGGUUGGCUCGAGUGUUGACAAAUAAUGGUGAACCAUCUUAGAUAGAUCAUAAAGAGUGGAUCUUAGUCCUCGUUGAGCUUCAAGGCUAAGUUCUGGUGGACCGUGGUUAAGCUUAGACUAAUGUCUACUAGUGGUGAUGCAAACCUGGAUCCACAAAGAGCUGUCAUGGUGGCAAGCUUACUAGAGAGGCUGAAUAUUAAUUUUGACCAGGUGAUUGCUGAUGAGUUUUUUGUUAGAGCACAUAACAUGGCUAGUGUGUUUCCUUUUAUAUGUCUCAUUAUAGAAUUGAGCAAACUAGUGAAGGUUCCUAUUAUCAGUGGAGUGGACAAUAAAGUUAGAGUAGCAAAAGGCAAGAUAUUGAGAAUAUGUGAGACAAGAUAAAUUUUAAGUUGAGGGUCUACAAGGAACAAUCUUUUGGGCCCCAAUCUUACAGUACUCCAAAAGCAUCAGGUAUCUUCGUAGGUAUGCCUUUACCCCAUGUUACUCUCGAUCCAUAGGGUACUUCUGCAGCAUCUUGGAUUAUUCCUCCACCCCAACUGUUGAGACUGCUGAAACUAUAUCCAGCAGCCAGUUUACUCAGAGUAUAGAUUUAAACAAGAGAAUUUUGUAUAGGUGGUCAAAGCAAAAAAAAAUUGAAAGGUAGUUGAAAAUAUGGGGCAAGGAAUACAAACUGUCCGUGGAUAGAAUCAUGGCGGAAUCCUUUAAGGCAUAUGAGAAUUUGCAUGCCUAGAUGGAUAAUAUGGAAUAAAGAGUGAACAAUAGGUGUCGGGAAUUUUCAAUUCCAAAUUGAACUAAGUUCACGGCCAGAUUUAAUCAAGCUCAAGACGACAUAGCCAACUUGAAGGACAAUUCUAUUGUAGGCGUAUUUGAUCCCAAAUAAUAGAGUUGGAGGAUGACGAUGACAUUGUUGGUUUGAUAGGGUCGAUAUUGAAAGAUAAAGGCAAGGCGGUAAGUGAGAGUGGAGAGAAGAAAAAAUCAAGAAAGAAGAAGCACAUAAAUGAAGCUGAUGAAGAAAGAGCCAUGAGGAAGGCAUUGAAGUAAUCAUGAAAUGAUGGAGAUUCUAGGAUAAAGAGAGUGAUGGAUGCGGCGGUGGGGGUGUCUAGCAGCUCAGAACAUGCAGGUGGGUCCAUACUCAAAGUGUUACCAACGCCUUUUCCAGUUAAUAAUAAAGUCACUGAUUUGAGCACCCCGGUCACCAUUAGGGCACUAUUGCUGAGAUCGAGUCCAGUCAAGCCUCUAAAGAUUUGCCGAACUCCCAAGCCUCUAAGGGCUUUACAAUUAUUCUAUCCCCUGUACUUUCUAAUAAUUAAUACAUUAAGGACAAAGCAUUUUUUUUUGCUAGGGUGGGAUACUUGUGAGUCUGUUUCCAUGAGGAUUUUUGUUAUCUAUGUUCUUUUCCCUCAUGUCCUAACUAGUAGAAGCGGCAUUUUUAGGAUAUGUGUUUCUAUUUUUGUGUUACAGUUUUAUUAUUGUGGUGUUUGAUGUACAUAUUGUUCCUGCAAAAAGAGAAGAAUGAAUAAUUAGUCGUUGUUGUUGAAAUAUAAAUAUUGAGGAGCCUCCAAAAAUUAUGAUUAUGUAUUUAGUUUUGUUCUGAUAAUUGACUGUUUGUGGAUCUACACUUGGCAUUAGUACUCUCUAUGUAAAGUGAAGCAUGCUUAAGUUUGAGUAUAAAUCUUAUAAUAGAUAGCAUGGAUGUCAUUUAAUGUGAUGUGUGUGCUAGGAUUUCAUUUUAAUUCUUACUUUGUGUAUGUAUCUAGAACUUGCGUAGCCCAUUUUGUCAGGUGUUAAGUUGGAUGUAUAGGAUAGGAUCACAAGCCUUGUUUGCACUUAGUCCACUUAACCUAAAAGAUUUAUCUAAAUGUGUAUGAAUUUCCUAGAUUCCUAUUUUGAGCUACUAACUUCUUUAUUCAAGAAUUGUUAAGAUUCUCUUUUCUAUUGUUAAAACCAUUAUUUUGGCCAUGGUUCCUCAUUGGAAAUUAUGCACCUCAACUCCGAAAAAUUGCCUAAGUUAAGGGUGGCUACUAUAGAACAGUUUGAUGAGUGAAGAAGCAUAUAAAGAGAGUGGAGUAAAUCAAUGAAAUACCUAGAAGUGUGUACAACUAAGGAAGAAUCUGAAAAAAGAAAAGAUAAAAGUAAACGAGUUUCAUAGGUUUGAACACGAUAUUCUUGGAUUGGAUCAUAGAUUUGAAUUUUGAAUUUUUACUUUGAAAGUUCUAGUUCUUACAUUAUGAAAUUUAGUUGUUUCAUCUCUUUUCUUGUCAUGAAUGUCUUAAAACCCCAUAAUUAGGGUUGUGGAAUAAUCAGUGGAAAAUUACUUCUAGGAUUCAUGUGUCAUUGAAUUUGUACUGUACUAAUGAUUAUAUUGCUAUUUCCUUAGGUUUUAAUGAAUUUGUAAUGGUUGCAAAUAUUAGAACAAGGCCUAGAGUUUAACUUGCUUGAGUAAAGAAGUUAAUAUCGAAAUAAGGCAGUAACAACAAGAAUUCAGAGUUUCUAACUCUUGAAUAAAGAUUAUUUCUUUAACCAGAUUAGUCUCUUGGGGAUUAAAUCAAAUUAGUAACUCGUCACUUUAAGGCCAAGAGAAUUGGAGUGAAAAUCAUCUACGUAGGUUGGGAAAUACUUAGAUGGAGAAUUGACAUUGAUUCCCUUAUAAUUGCUUGUAUUAGUACAAAUUCAUAUAUCACAUGACCCAGAAGUGAUAGAACACCAAGGAGACAUAAUUCUAGUUUUGUCUUUCUCAUUGAUUGAUACAUUACAAAAUUUACAUCUACAGUUCGGCGCAAACAUAAUUAUUUAUUCAUUUCACUAUACAUUCCCCUUUAUUUCAUGAAAAUUGAUGACUAAUUUUCUUUUAAACUAUAUACAACUUAAUUAACACCUUAUUCCCUCUAGGAUUUGACCCCAAUCUUUGUUGGGUUAUAUAUUUGACAAUGGAUGCUUACACCUCUUUAAAAAGGUGUUGUAGUUUGGACAUAUCACCGUGAGAAGUUUUUUUAUGGAAAUCCAAAAGCGUUAUUUCAAAAUGGUUAGCCAAAGACAUUUGGUUGAUUUGUAAAAAAUUACUAUUUCUUGAAACGUGACUAACUUUACAAAAUCUUAGAUUCAUUUGCAAAUGUGGCAUAUAUUCUAUUUUAGUGAAAAUUAGCCUAUUAAAAUCAAGAAAAAAAUCUUUGUAAAGAAAAACUAAACUAGAUUAAAAACAAUCUUUGUAAAGGAAAACUAAACUAGAUUUUUCAAAUUUUUAAAAUCAAUUAUUUUAUGAAAAGGGAAGGUGACAUCAAUCUUGAACAAAAUUUUAUAGUGGUAUCAAUUUUGACAAAUAGGAUGCUUUAAAAAAAAAUACCAAGUUAAGAUAAAUAAGUUAAUCAUGGAAAGUUUAAAUUUUCAAAAAAAUUUCUUUUUAGUCAAAAUAAAAGUACUUAAUGCAUAGGGGUAUUAAGCUAUUGAGUCACACUAUGAAGAUUUUGGAGAGGGUGGUUGAGUGGAGAUUGAGGAGGGUGGUGUCCAUUUUGGAGAAUCAGUUUGGAUUUAUUCUUGGUCGCUCUACGGCAGAGGUAAUCCACCUGGUGAAGAGAUUGGUGGAGCAGUAUAAGGAAAUGAAGAGGGAUUUACACAUGGUGUUCAUUGACCUGGAGAAGGCGUAUGAAAAAGUCUCUAGGGAGGUUCUUUCGAAAUGCUUGGAAGUGAGAUGGGUCCCGGUGACGUAUAUCAGAGCUAUUAAGGACAUGUAAGAUGGAGGAAGACUCAGGUGAGGACGGCGGGAGGAGACUCUGAGCAUUUUUUGGUUAAGACAAAGUUGCAUUAGGGAUCGACUUGUAGUCCAUUCCUUUUUACGUUGGUGAUAGACUGUUGAUGCGGAGUAUUCAAGGUGAUGUGCCUUGGUGUAUGUUAUUUGCGGAUGAUGUAGUGCUAAUUAAUGAGAUGCGAGAGGGGAGGGGGGGUUGUGAAUGAGAAAUUGGAGGUUUGGAGGCAAACCCUUGAAUCUAAGGGGUUCAGGUUGAGUAGGUCCAAGAUGGAGAGUACGGAAUGCAAGUUUAGUGACUUGAGGUAGAAGGACGAAUUGGUGGUAAGUUUGGAUUCCUAGGAUGUUUUUAAGAGGGAUAGUUUUAAGUAUCUUGGGUCUAUGAUCCAGGGAAAUAACGAGAUUGAUAAGGAUAUCUCUAAACGUAUUGGAGCGGGUUGGAUGAAGUGUAGGCUCUUCUCGGAGUGUUGUGUGAUAAGAAGGUGCCCCUUAAGCUUAAAGGCAAAUUCUACAAAGUGGCAUUUCAUCCGACCAUGCUAUAUGGAGCGGAGUGUUGACCCAUCAAGAACUCCAACAUUCAAAAAUUAAAGGUAACAAAAAUGAGAAUAUUGUGUUGGAUGUGUGGGCUUACUAGAGAGAAUAGAGUUAGAAAUGAGAUUAUUCGAAAGAAGGUGAGAAUGGCUUCGGUGGAGAAAAAAAUGUGAGAAAGAAGGCUGAGAUAGUUUGGGCAUAUGAUGAGGAGGAGCACUGAUGCCCCAGUUCAUAGGUGUGAGAGGCUAGCUUUGGAUGGCGUCAGGAGGAGUAGAGGUAGGCCGAAGAAAUACUGGAGGGAGGUGAUUAGACAUAACAUAGAGCAGUUAUAGCUUAAUAAGGACAUGACCCUAGAUAGGAAGGAGUGAAGGUCGUGGAUAAUGGUAGAAGGCUAGUGUGAGUGUGUGGAUUAUAGCUAGUAGUUAAGAGAGCUCUUGUGUAGCCGGGUUAGUAAUUCUAGGACUAUGUCCAUAGGUAGGAUCAUCUAACAAGGUGAGUUUGGGUGGGGUGGUGGUGGUGUCUUUGGGCUUGUGAGUGUAUUACUACUAGGUGGGUGUCCUAGUUCUUAAUUCUUAUUUCCUAUUUUGUAGUUUGUAUUGCUCGUAUUUCUCUUAUUUCGUAUUUCUCUGAUUUCUAUUUAUAUUAUAUCUUGUUCAUUAUUUAUGUUAUGUCAUCCAUAGUGCUUCGUGUUUUAUUACGACCUUAUUUACUAUUCUUUAUCUUGAGUUGGGGGUCUAUCAGAAAAAGCAUCUCUACUUCUUCAGAGGUAGCAGUAUGAACUGUGUACAUUUUAUCCUCCCCUGACCCCACUUUGUAGAAAUACAUCGGGUUUGUUGUUGUUGUUGGUGUUUCUGUAUUAUCUUGUCAUAACAAGAUUCGUUUUUAGAAAGAUUUAUUCUUAAGAGGAAUAAAGAGUCUAUUUUUUAUUUAAGGUCUGAAGACAAACUAAAAAUGAUUAAUAUUGAAUAAAAAAAUAAAGAUAAAUUCAAAAAGAUAAUACUUGGAGAAUUUAUCUAGACUAAUUAAAUAAAGGAAAAAUUUCACAAAACCACAACUUAAGAUAUCUAAAUAACUAAAAAUUUUUCCACUUAAUAAAAAUUAUAAAUAUACCUUAUUUAUAUAUGGAAAGGACAUGGGUUGGCCAUUUUGAAAAGAAAUGGCCAACCCUUUUAAAAGUUGGACAUGGGUAGCCCGUCGGCCCAAUUUAAUUCCCCUAAAUAGACUUUUAGCCCAAAACUGAUCCUCUUACACAUUAAAGAGUAAUAAAUACUCUUUUAACGGCUAUUUAUUGAACUUUCCCAAAUUUUAUUCUCUUUCUUUCUAAUAUGGUUCAUAAAUUUGUUCUUUUCAUCAAAAUUAGAAAUUGAGUUGGUGAUUUUUGCAUUGUAUGGACAUGAAACAAAUAAUGGGUAGUAAGGGAAAGCUAAAAUUAGCUAGUAAAGGGGUCAAUUUUGACCCCAAAUUUAUUGUGAAAUAUGAUGACUUCAUAGAAUUUUCAUCUAUGUUGUUGCAGUUGAAGGACUGUCCUAGUCCUUCAACCUUGAAGAAGAAGAAAAUUGAUAGAAUAGAGUCUCAAAGUAAGAGAAAUCUAUGUCGGAAAGUCCAUAUUCUUCUCAUAGGAUGACUCGAUCACGGAGUCAGAGGCUUUUAGGUGCAUGUAAAUAUGAAGAGAAGGAUCUUUCAAAAGGAAAGGAGAAGGUCGAUGAACAUGUAUUUGUUAGUGCGAAGAAAAAAAGAAACGAAAUCGGGAAAAAUGGUGAAGACACUGAUGUAUUGUCAAACAAAAAAUGAAAAGUUCAGAUCAUCUUGGAAAACCAAGUUAUAGUUUAUCAGAUGUUGAGGUAUUCUGUAUUUUUUGACAACUAUAGCGUAUUUUUUGUAUAUGUAUGCAAUGUGCGGCCUUACUUUGUAUGUUGUUGUUAUUGUAGUUGCUUUGUGCAAUGUAAUGCAUAGUGUUAAUGUAUUUAGAAAUAUAUAUUUCUUUCAGGUUUGAGAUUUUGUUGUUCGACCAAGUGAUUACAUGACUCAUAUUAGUGUGCAUACACAUUGCUCGAUUGUGAAUGAGCUGAAAGAUAAGUUAACUAAGGUGCAACUCAAUAUGUUCAGAAACACCUGUUUUGGAUAUUUUUUAGAUUUGCCAUCUGUUUCCAUUCAAAAUCAGUUGAUACAUGACAUGUUUCUUAAGGAAUUUUUUUCUAGUUGAAAUGAUGAGAUAUGGAUUAAAGUGAAUGAGACAAAGUUGUGAUUUGGUCUAUCAGAUUUUGCUGUUAUAAGUGGAUUAAAGUGUACAGGUGAUGUUACACUGGCAUAUAAUUUGAGCCAGUCUAGUCGCCUUAUUGAAUUGUAUUUUCCAAAUCAAUCCAAAGUUACAAAGCUUGAGCUAAAAACUUUUUUAUUGGGAAAAAAUGGCAAUUUGGUGGAGACGCGUUGCAUAUUGCCAUUCUUUCCUUCAUUCAUAGUUUUUUGUUUUCAAUUACGUAUGGUGACUUCAUAAAUAAGGAUGAGUUUUUGUUGGUUGAGUCUGGUCAGUUUGAGACAUAUCCCUGGGGAAAGUUGUGUUUACAUGAUAUGUUGGAUUCAAUGAAGUACCAGGUUUAUAAGCAAAAGUAUAUGUAUUGGUGUGGUGGUUUCCCUUUGUCAUUCCAAUGUUGGUUUUGUGAAUGUUGUCCAUAUGGUGGUUUCCCUUUGGCAUUCCAAUGUUGGUUUUGUCACAAUUCACAAUGCCAUAAAUAGGGGAUUUCAUACUACACAUGGUUUCCAACAUCUUAUACAUGGAAGGGAAUGCAUAUAACAUGUAAACACUUGCAUAACUUGAAUUUCAUGAGGAUUCUAGAUCACCCCAAUCAACGCACAACAAUAGCAUGUAAUUAACGUUGAAUUAAAAGUGAUAUAAUGGACUUGUCAUUUAGGUACUAUUGAGUCUUGAGAAACAUGAUUUUCAUUAUCAUUCUAGGAAAUUCAUCAAACACCUUACAUGCACAUUUUAUGGCAUAGGUGAAAUUAUCAAUUUACUAUCUUAAACCAUCCCAAAACUCAUGGGUUUCAACCAACAUGCUCACAUGAUUCAUAGAAACACAUUGAGAUACCAUCUUGAAUCACCAAUAACAACUAUCAACAUAAACAUAAUCAUACAACACAAAGAAAUCAUAAUUUUUUAAUUUAAAACUUGGUUCUUGAGCUCUACGGUUGAAAGGGAUCCGUGGAUGAACACUACGCAUACCUUAAUGGGAAUAUCCGUGAAAGUUAAUGGUAAAGCUGUUAGGUUUGGGUCUUCAAAUUGAAACCCUUGUUCUUGAGAGAAACUGAUGAAAAGGAGUAUAUUUUGGCAUUUUUAAGCUUUAAUGCUGUGUUUGGGAGGUUAAAUAUAGGUGCAAAAGGACCAAAAUGCCCUCUAAACACGGAGGUAGAAUGCUGAAAAAUUGGACACCCACCAGAGUUGUAGGCUAGCGUCUAGCUAUGCCCCCGCUCUAGCUAGGGCAGCGCCUUGCUUAGAGCGGUGCCCUAGGCUGGGCGGCGCGGUCAGAUCUCCCUGAGCUACUAGUUUGUGUACCCAAACAUGCCCUUACGCUACUCCGAAAAUUCCGAAACUCACCCAAAAUAUAGUACGACCUUGCCCCAUCGCAACACAACUUGAAAAUUGGAAAAUAAAGGUUGGAAAGGUCGUCAAAUAAAUCCCCGAAGUUUGGAGGUCUAAAAUGAGACUAAGUGUUGACCACUUAGCUAAAAUUUUCUAAGUGUUAGACCUUAUAUUGAGCUUCAAGGAGCUAAACGAGCUAAAUUUGAACGCAAAGUUUUUGAGGGGUCUUACAAUAUCUCCCCCUCGGAUGAGAUUGACUGAGAGGGGAAACAAUAAGCUGAACAUAAAUUGGACAUAAAUGACUAAAACAUGAUCUCAUGACUGACAUGAAUGAUAAACUGAAUUAUCACACUGAACGUGCAUAUCUGAUGCAUGUGUACCUGAUUCAUGAAUGCAUGACUGAGGUUUCUGAUAACUGAAGUUCUCGCAAUGAGAAUGCAUAUCUGAUGCAUAAUUAUACAACUAAACUGACACAUGUAUGCAUGACUGAAUAUGCAAUGGUACUUGAUACCAAGCUUAUAAUGGUUACAUGAGCGUGAAACUGAAUACUAAAUUUACUAAAUACUGAACGUGAAGCUGAAUAAGAUUAAGGAUAAUUGUUACCUUGAGCUUGAUCUGGGUUGGCGGACAAGAGGUGAGGGUACUUGGUACGCAUGUCUUCUUCUUCUUCCCAUGUAGCUCCCUCAAUGGACUGAGUUCUCUAAAGAACCUUGACUAGAGGGACUUCUUUGUUCUUCAGUCUACGAGUCUGAUAGUCAAGAAUUUCGAUUGGAAUUUCCUCAUAGGAGAGACUAUUCUGAACAUCGAUGCUCUGAAUAGGGACUACAACUAAUGGUUUACCUAUGCACUUCUUGAGAAAAGAAACAUGGAAGACUGGAUGAACUAAGGCUAGAUCUGAAGGAAACUCGAGCUCAUAAGCUACUUUACCGAAAUAAUUGAGAAUCUUGAAGGGACCAACAUAUUGGGGACUGAGCUUUCCCUUCUUGCCAAAUCUAUUCACUACCUUCAUGGGAGAUAUCUUUAGAUAGACAAGGUCACCAAUCUCAAAUUCGAGAUCCUUUCUACGCAUAUCUGCAUAAGACUUUUAUCGUCUCUGAGCAGCCCGAGCCUUUAUCUGACCAAUUGAACUUCCUCUAAGGCAUCAAACACUAAGUCGGGCAAUAUGGUAGAUUCCUCACGAACUUUAAACCAACCGAUUAGAGAUCUACAUGUCCUACCAUAGAGAGCUUCGAAUGGAGGCAUCUGAAUACUGGAAUGAUAGCUAUUGUUGUAUGCAAAUUCAAUCAAAGGCAAGUGGUCAUCCCAACCACCCUUGAAAUCAAUUGAACACGCCCUUAGCAUAUCUUCUAAAGUCUGAAUGGUCCUUUCCGCUUGACCAUCUAUCUGAGGAUGAAAGGAUAUACGGAGAUGAACUUGGGUACCAAGACCGUUUUAGAAUGCUUUCUAGAAGUGAGAGAAUAAAUGGAUACCUCUGCCUGAGAUGAUAGAUAAUGAAACACUGUGUAAUCUGACCAACUUCCUGAUGUAGAGUUUGGCAUAAUCCUCGGCGGAAUAAGAGGUAUGAACUGGAAGAAAAUGAGUUGACUUGGUCAUUCGAUCUACAAUGACCCAAACUAAAUCAUGCUGAUGACGAGUUUGAGGCAAACCCAUCACGAAGUCCAUGUUCACUUCUUCUCACUUUCAAAUAGGAAUAGUGAACUCCUGCAUGGAACCACUAGGUUUAUGAUGCUCUAUCUUAACCUGUUGACAUAAAGAGCACUUAGCCACAAACUCUACAAUAUCUCUCUUCACCCCACUCCCCCAAUAGAUCUCCCACAAGUCAUGAAAUAUGUUAGUUGCUCCUGGAUGAAUAGAGUAUCACGCACCAUGCGCCCCUAUAAGAAUUCGCUGCCUCAAGUCAUCUACACCUGGAAGACACAAACGACCCUGACAACAAAGAACACCAUCUCCCCCUUGGGAUAAAACCUCUACUUUUUGAUCUUUUACUUACUUUUUUAGCUUAACAAGGCUAGGAUCCCUUUGUUUCUUUUCUUUCACCUCAAAAACUAGAGAUGAUUCUGAACUACUCUGAACACAUACGCCACCCUCAGAAGAAUCGACUAAGAAAAUGCCUAGUCUGGUAAGCUGAUGGAUUUCCUAAGCAAUCUUCUUCUUGUUAUCUUCAACAUGAGAAAUAUUACCCAUAAAGAGUCUAAUAAGAUCUUAGGCCAGAUCAUUGGCCUUGCCCGGAUGAUAAAGGACACUAUGUCAUAAUCCUUCAAGAGCUCUAACCACCUUUUCUGAAAAAGGUUGAGAUCAUUCUGGGAAAAGACAUACUGGAGACUCUUAUGAUUUGUGAAGACAUCUAUAUGAACUCCAUAGAGAUAAUGCCUCCAAAUCUUCAAGGCAAAUACUACGACUGCUAACUCAAGAUCAUGAGUACGAUAUUUAUUCUCAUGGGGCUUUAAAUGUCUAGAGGCGUAGGCUAUGACCUUACCAUGCUACAUGAGGAAAUAACCUAAACCCACUCUGUAUGCAUCACAAUACACUACGAAACUAUCUGGACCAUCUGGAAUAGCUAAGACUGGGGCUGAGGUGAGUCGAGUCUUCAACUCCUAAAAACUCUCCUCGCAAGGAUCUGAUCACUAAUACUUGACCUUCUUCUAAGUCAAUAUGGACAUAGGGGAUGCAAUAGAAGAAAAUCCCUCGACAAACCGUCUGUAAUAGACAGCCAAUUCGAAGAAACUCUUAAUAUCUAAUGGAGAGACAAGGCGUGUCCAGUUUCUUACCUCUUUGGUUAUCUAAGCAUCUACUCUAAUGCCAUCACCGAAAAUGAUAUGACCAAGGAAUGCUACUGACCUUAGCGAAAAUAUUCACUUACUAAAUUUGGAGAAUAGCUGAUGAUCUCAGAGAGUCUGGAGAACAAUUCUGAGAUGGUCUGAAUGGUCUUUCUCAUUGUGGGAGUACACAAGGAUGUCAUCUAUAAAAACUAUCAUGAACAUGUCCAAGUACUGCUUGAACACCCGGUUUAUUAAGUCCACGAAAGCUGUAGGGGCAUUGGUAAGACCAAAGGACAUAACUAAGAAUUUAAAGUGAAUAUACCGAGUACGGAAAGUUGUCUUCGGAAUGUCACAUUCUCCGACUCUAAGCUAAUAGUAGCCGGAUCUGAGGUCUAUCUUGGAGAAAUAAUUGGCACCCUGAAGUUGGUCAAAUAAGUCAUCGAUUCUGGGAAGAGGAUACUUGUUCUUGACCGUGACUUUAUUGAGUUGACGCUAAUCAAUGCAUAUCCUGAGAGAACCGUCUUUCUUGCACACGAAUAAGACUAGUGUGCCCCAUGGGGAAAUGCUAGGUCUGAUGAAUCCCUUAUCUAAGAGAUCCUUCAACUGAUCUUUCAAUUCUCUGAGUUCUACUGGUGCCAUUCUGUAUGGUGGAAUAGAGAUAGGCAGCAUGUCUGGAAGAAGAUCAAUGCCGAAGUCUAUUUCCCUUUCGGGAGAAAUGCUUGGAAGAUCUUUGGGAACGAUAUCUAAAUAUACAUUUACAACUAGAACUGAUUCAAGAUUGGGAAUUUCGGAACUGGAAUGUUUAACAUGAACAAGAUGAUAGACACAUCCCUUAGUUAUUAUUUUUCGUGCCUGAAGGUAGGAAACAAGCUGACUCCUGAAAGUGGAUACACUACCCUUCCACUCAAGGACGGGUUUAGUUGUAAAAUGAAACUGGACUAUUCUGUUUCUGUAGUCGACUAUGGCAUAGAGGAAUGAAGCCAAUCUAUGCCGAGAAUGACAUCAAAAUAAGUCAUCUCUAAUUUGACUAAGUUUGCUGAAGUGACCUUCUUAAAUAUCAUAACCGGUCAGUUCCAAUAUACCCACCGAGCUAUGAUGGUUUUACCCAUUGGGUAGAUACUGAAAAGGACUUAGCUAGAAUUUUGGGACUGAUUCCGAAAUCAAUUGUAUAUAAGGAGUGAUAAAAGACAAGGAUUCACCUGGAUCAAGCAAAGUGUAAACAUGCACAUAAAAGAUCUAUAACGUACCAGUAACGACAUCAGGAGAAUUUUCCUGAUCCUAUCGAGUUUGAAGAGCAUAAAGACAAUUCAGGCAUUGCCUACUAGUAGCACUAAAAGUGGCACCCUACUGAUUCGGGUGACCGGACCGAGCUGCGGAACAGUUUUGCUGACCCUGAUAACCUGACUGGGGAUAAUCUUUGACUCUGUGCCCUGUCUUGACACAACCAAAAUAGACAUCGCUACCAGCUCUACAAGAACCCUUGUGGUUCUUUCCACAAGUCUGACAUAAGGGAUUAGUUCAAGCAUUACUGACACUGCCCUAAGACUUAAAGCCUGGCGCUCUAUCUCUAAACUUAGGAGAUGGAGCACCGGCUGAAGAAGGAGCUAGAACCGAUGACUUGGGAUGAAAUUGAGAACGAUUUCCUUCUUCCGACUUGGGUUGAGCAAAGUUGAGAUUUCCUAACCUUGCUCUCUUCUUCUACCUCUCCAUUAUCCUAACCUUCUGUUCCUCUAUCUGAUGAGAAUAAUUCAUAAGUUUGGAUAAAGUCAUGUCAUUGUUCAGCAUCGCAUACCUACACUUAUUUACCAUGCUUUCAUUCACCCCUGAAACGAACUUACUUAUAUUAGUUCUAUUGUCUGUAACCACAUGAGGGGCAUAUCUAGCUUAUUGAGUAAAACUGAGAGAAUACUCUUUCACCAUCAUAUUGCCCUCCUGAGUUUGAUGAACUCUAGCACCUUAGCCUUCCUCAGCUCUUGGGGAAAGAAUAUGUCUAAGAAUGUCGUGACAAACUCCUCCCACUCUGUAGGACCUCCAUCGUCUAAACUUUCAGACUUCCACUGCUUGUACCAAGUAUGAGUCACAUCCUGCAACUGAUAUGCAGCUAACUCAACACUCUCAGAAGUAUUCACCCCAUGAUAUCUAUCACCUUCAAAAUUUGAUCAAUGAAUUCAUGAGGGUCUUCAUCAACCGUAUACCUAAGGAAGGUUAAAGGAUUCAUUCAGGUGAAGUCCCGAAUCCUAGCUGCGGCUGACUUGGCCACUAGGUUGGCUGGAAUAAUCGUUGGCCAUUCAUUCUGAGCAGCUACUGAUUGAGUAAGAGUGGUGAAUGCAGUCCUUAACUCCGCAUGAGAAACAUGAUCGCCCAAAGGUUUUUCGGGCUGAAGAGUUAGCUGAUUUCUUCUUUUCGGAGGCAUGUUUUAUAGAAGAAAGAGAGAAAUGGAUUAGGCUGAGAAAUUAACUUAUGAUUAUGCUCACUGGCAAGACAUGAAUACUGAAAGAGGGGAAACUGUUCCUAAAAUAUCUCAUAGACUCCUGCACAUAAAUGUGGCGCGCAACACACCCAUAUACAAGACUCUACUAGAUGCGGCUUUCAGACUUCCUAGGACUCCGUUAAACCUUUGACUCUUAUACCAAGUUUGUAACGCCUGAGCCUGGUGCCCAAAAUGCUACACGGUGCUCAUGACCACGUAGUACCACAAGAUAACCCAUGACUAAUAUUUGUACCUGUACAUAAGAUAAUAAGACAUAAAAAUGUAGAAACAUGCACUGAAAGGCCAUAAGGCUCAAUACUGAACAUAAUCGAAUAAUAACAAUGUCUGAAUAAAGUGGUAUCAGAAUACCAAAAUAAAACUAAAAUACUGAAGUUUGAAACAUGAUAGUCUGGAAAGCCUUUACUGUCUGAAUAAAGAGUUGAUGGGAUAUGUCCCCAACUAACUCUACUACUGAAAGAAACUAAAUACUAAAAUAAUGAAAUACGAUCACGUCCUCUGAGAAUGAGGGCUCACUGCUAAAACUCUGAGUAUUGAAAUGCUACAACUACUGCUGAUCUAGAAGUCGUGUCUUUGAACCUACGGUGUAAUAUAAAAAGAAAACACCAUAACGCAAAUACGUCAGUAUGUUGGAACAUACUGAGUAUGCAAGUGAGGUAGGCUGAAUGCAUGGGGUUCAUAUGCAUGAGCAAUACUAACUGACUGACUAAUAUGAACAUGAGAGUGCAUAUGUGAACACAUAGUAAUUGAGAUCGUGAAAACAUGAUAGCUAAAUCUAUACUGAUGACAUGAGUCUACUGAUAUCUACCAUGACUAAUAAUGAGUUCUGAUAAUUGAUAACAUGAAUGAUUGUAUGUGGCAGUCCUAAAUCUGAUAAAACUAUCUGAGUUUCGUACUGUAACUAAGUUGACUGUAUCUAAAAGUCCUGGUAUUCUGAUGAACUAUCUGAGUUCAUUUACUGAGAGUAAUACUGAAACUGUGGGAAGUAGUUACUUAACCGACAUGCCCCAAAUGCGCUAUAAUAGCUGAGCUGGGAUCCAAUGUAUGCCCUGAUUGGAAGGGUGUCGAUACUGCGCCACUGCUAAGGACAAACUAUGGGUAACCCUCAUCUGGCAGUGUCCAUAAAAGAGAAUAGUGGGCCCUUAUCUGACAGUUCUUAUCCACCUCAUUGACCCUCAUCUGACAGUGUCAAUGUCUCAAGCUAUGCUGGCUACAUAGUUCUGAAAUGCAAGGAUGAUUGCUAAGAAUCACACCCUCAUCUGACAGUGUAUGUUCCCAUCCUUGGGUUCACUCGGUUCUAAUUACUACUCCCAUAUGAAGAGACUGAACAUGAUUAACUGACUGUACAUGAACUGAGUUUACUGAAUUUCAUCGACUGACAGAAUGCUACUGCUAUCUGAUAACUGACUGAGAUCAUGAGAUUUCUGAGAUUUCCUGAGUCAUAUUACUGACUGAAUUCUAUGGAACAUGGUUUGACGGAGGAUAUCAUGAAAACAUGACAUUUGCUCUUGGCAUACAACUAUAUUUUUCAGGUACAAGUUCCCCCAAAACUUGAUGGAAGGAAACUGAUACCACAUGACACUUCUUGAUUUUUGGAAAUGAAGUUCACAAUUCACAAUAUCACAAUUCACAAUGGGGAAGAGAGGUGCCUAGCUAUGCCCCCGCUCUAUCCAGGGCAGAACCUUGCUUAGUGUGGUACUCUAGGCUGGGCGGCGCAGGUAGAUCACCCUGAGCUAUUGGUUUGGGCACCCAAAUGUGCCCUUACGCUACUUCAAAAAUUCUGAAACUCACCCGAGAUGUACUACGAACUUGCCCCAUCACAACGCAACUUGAAAAUUAGAAAAUAGAGGUCACGAAGAUUAUCAAAUAAAUUCCCGAAGUUCGAAGGUCUAAAAUGAGACUAAGUGUUGAACACUUCGCUAAAAUUGUCUAAGUGUUGGACCUUAUAUUCAGCUUCAAGGAGCUAAACGAGCUGAAUUUGAACGCAAAGUUUUUAUGGGGUCUUACAAUACAUGUGAGGUAUGCUAUCUACAAGGGUUCACAUGUAUGAAUAAUGCUAACUGACUGUUUAACAUGAACGUGAGAGUACAUGCAUAAAUACGUUACUAUAACUAACACCAUGAUAACAUGAUUACUGAAUCUGAAUACUAAUAACAUGACAUGUUAAUAACUAUUAUGACUAAUAACAUGAAAGACGGUAUUUGAAUAAAACUGAUAACAUGGGUGACUGUAUCUGAUAGUCCUAAAUCCAAUGAAACUAUCUGAGUUCCAUGCUUUAUCUGAGUUGACUGUAUCUGACGAUCCUUAUAUCUGAUGAACUAUCUGAGUUCUAUUACUAAGACUGAUUGACUAUAUCUGACCGUGCUGAUUCUAUAACAUGAAACUAUGGGAAGUAGUUAUUUAACUGACAUGCCCUUGAUACGCCAUUAUGGUUGAGUUGGGAUAUAAUCUGUAACCCUAAUUGGAAGGAUAUCAAUACCAUUCCACUGGUAAGGAAAAGCUAUGGGUGACCCUUAUCUGAUAGUAUCCCCUGUACGAGAACAGUUGGGCCCUUAUCUGAUAGUAUUUAUCCAUCUCAUCAACCCUCAUCGACAGUGUUGAUAUCUUAACCUAUGCUAGCUACAUAUUUCUAGAAUGUAAGGAUGACUGUUAAGGAUCACACCCUCAUCUGAUAGUGUGUGUCCCCAUCCUUGGGUUCACUCGGUGCUAAUUUUUACUCCCAUCAUAAUAGACACUAAACAUGAUUAACUGACCUGAAUUGAAUAUGGACUAAGUUACUAAAUUUCGUUGACUGACGGAAUACUACUGAUAUCUGAUAACUGACUAAGUUUAUGAGAUUAUUGAGGUUUCUUGAGUCAUAAGACCGUCUAAAGUCUAAGAAUUCAUAGGUUGACUAAGAGUAUCGUGAAAACAUGACAUGACUCUAGGCACACAGCUAACGUUUCGGGUACAAGUACCCCCAGGACUCGAUAGAAGAAAACUGACAACGCAUGGCAUUACUUGAGUACAUAAUAAGAACCAUAAUAUGUUUAUUGAAGCAUUUCAUCAAACAUAUGAUAGGCAUAAGCUUGUACAUACAUGGGGAUUUCAUGACUUCAUGCUAGUUAAACAUUUUUCCUUCAUUUAGGCAUUAAAUCAAACAUAUUGCAGGCAUAAUACAUGCAGACAUUAUUGUACAACAAUUAUACAUCAUGGUUCACUCCUAAUUUCAUCAUUAAAAGGUUAAAUCAUUGGUUUGCAUGAAUCCAUGUCUAUAAUAAUUAAACCCACAUAGAAAUUAUCAACCAACAUGGAGUAAAAUUCAAUUUCUCAUUUGUUAUCAUGAACAAGAACUUCCCAAUCAUGAAAUUCAUAGAGAAGAUUCAUAAAAUUGAUUUUAGAAUAGGAUUCUUGGGCUUCACGGACAAAAAGAGUCCAUGAAUGAACACUAUUCAUACCUGAGUUAAGGCUCUUGAUGUUCUUGAACUUGAAGAAUUGGAAAUCCCUUAGAUUCUUGAAGAAGAUUGGGUUUUGUUCUUGGAGAUUAAUAUUAGAGAGAAAGCCUAAUCUUGUGUGUGAAAUAAUAAUAAAUCAAAUGGCUAAAAUCAGAUAUAAUUGGAUAUAUAUAGACGGGUGACAAAUGACCAAAAUACUCCUAUUAAAACAUCAUCAAAUAACUGAGCGGGACGUCCGACGGUGGGGUGCAAUGGUACGUCGCAUGUUCGAUGGUCCGUCGCAUGUUCGACCGUCCAUCGGACCUCUUUGUCGAAGUGAGAUAGAAUUGGGACUUGCUGCCAAUAAGUAAUGGUGGGGUGCAACGGUCCAUCACUGGGUCGACGGUCUAUCGGACCUCGCCAUCGUACAUUUCCAGAGAGAUGAUUCACUACUUUGAUGCGACGAUCAUGCUCGAUUGUUGGUCGCUUGUCCAAUGGUCUGUCGCCUGCACCAUCGCACUGGGCUAUUUUUCUGCCUUUUAUAUUUUGGCAUAACUUCCUUAUGUGACACCAAAUUUUGAUGAAAUUGGUAUCGAUGGGAAGUUUAUUCAAUUUUCCACGUGAUGGAAAGUGAAAAUCAUAAAAAAAUACCACGUGUACAAGAAUGUUUUCAUAUUUCAAAGCAAGUUCUAACAUCUUUGAGAUGAUUCCAAGCUAAGAAAAUUCAUGGGUAUUACAAAGACAGUCCUAUGAAUUCUCAAAAUGAGUUGAAACUUCUGUGAAUUGAUUUGAAUUUGGUAUGUUUAAGUGUUUUAAAAGUUGGUGUAGCUGAGUAUUAUGAAAAAUUGAUGUUUUUUGUUUGCCAUUUUGAAAAUGUUCAGCUAAAGGAUGAGGUUUUGUCGAUGAAACAGUUGAUGACAUCGUCAUUUGACCUAAUUUUUAAAAGCACUACAUAUAAAUGAGUGUUCUAAGGUAUUUGGCUUGUUGUAUUGUAUGAUUUAUAUAACUUAUACAGAGUUUUAUACUAGUAUUUAUUUGUUGAACUUUUUAAAAUAGUCUGCCGAGUAUCAUAGUGGUCAUAAGUGGGGCUUAAAAAUGAUAUACACAUACAGGGAAUUCCAUAGGGGUUAAUUUGUCUGGCAAUGUGGGACGGAAAAUUGAUGGUACACCUAAGGUUGAUCACAUAAGUAAUAAUUUAGUUGAUGGUGUUGGAGAAAAAAUGCUGGUGUUGGGGAUUGUAUUGAUGUAGAAGCUGAGAAUAAACUAAGUGCUAAUCUGGUUGAUGAUAUUGAAAAACAAAAUGUUGAUGUAGGUGAUCAUAUUGAUGUAGCAGCUAGAGAUCACCUAAGUAAUAACGUCAUUGAUGAUAUUGGAAAAAAAACUGUUGGUGUAGGUGAUCAUAUCGAUACAAAUGCAGGUGAUAGACCUAUUACAGGUAAUGAAUGGAGUGCAUUUCCAAAUUUUAAAUUUUUAAAAUUUACACCAAGUGGUAAUAAGAUUGGAGAGGAGGUUAAAAAUAGUUUUGAGGAUAGUUGGUCUGAUUUUCCUGAUUAUGAAGUAUCAAAGUUUACCCAACCAAUUUCUCAUGAGAAUGCACAGUGUAUGAAAGAUUUGGUUGAGAAUAGUCAGGAAAUCGAUUGGUCAGGUGUUUCGGACAGUGAAAUCUCAAAGUAUACUCAACCUGAUAAAAUAGGUGAACAUUCUGUGAUUGAGAAAGUUAUUGGGAAGAUUGAUACAGAUUUAGGCUGUAGAAGUGUUGCAUUAGAGGCUACAAAAGUUCUUGUUGAUGUUGGAAGCAUAAGAAAAAAUUUUGAUGAUACUUCUGUAGGUGAUAAAUCAACUGUCAUCUUGGAUGAAACACCGGUUUUCCCUCGUAGAAUAAGAAAACUAGCUGCAAUAUAUGAAUCACCAUACGUGUCCAAGUUUGAUUCUGGUUGUAGCAACGUUCAAGGUCAACCAACUAAGUGAAUAGAUAAAGGACAUUCAAGAAAACACAUAUUCAGUAUGACACAUCCAUUUACCAUAGGUAUUACUGAGCCAAUUCUUGGUAUGAAGUUAUUGUCUUUAUUCAACAAGUUUGUUGAUAAGUCAUUAAGACUUAAUUCAAAGUAAGUGUUUUCUUUAUAAAAUUUUUUAUCUUAAAUUUUUAUCAUUUUUGUGUUAAAACUAAUACGUUGUGUCAUGCUUUUUUUUAUAGUCCUGUUUAUUCAAAAUCUGUUAAUAAUUUGGCAAAUGAUUUUGACUUUGGUGUUGUCACGAUUAAAAUAAGAGAAUGGUUCUACACGUUUGGAUAUGUAGGAGUACCUUUAACUGAUUCAGUAUGUCUAUUAUCCAUCAUGGUUUGCUGGUAUAGAAGUACUGAAAUAUUCUUUAGUGAUUUUGACAAUGUAAUGUAGUUUAUUAAAAUGAUCUUUUAUCUUUACUUUUCAGCAUAUUGAUGUGCUUUUUUACUACUUACGGAAGAAGUCAAAGUACACUCUUUUGGAUGGUAGAAGUUCAUUCAAAACAACUAAUUGUUGGUUUAAUUGCUUGAUACAAAGUUUGUACUCAAAGUUUUG